Molecule: ribosomal RNA, 303 nt
Filed under: uncultured bacterium
Lineage: Bacteria
Description: partial 16S ribosomal RNA
Rfam family: Bacterial small subunit ribosomal RNA
Source: RNAcentral
AGCAGUCGCCACGGUAAUACGUAGGGUGCGAGCGUUAAUCGGAAUUACUGGGCGUAAAGCGUGCGCAGGCGGUUGUGUAAGACAGGUGUGAAAUCCCCGGGCUUAACCUGGGAACUGCGCUUGUGACUGCACAGCUAGAGUAUGGCAGAGGGGGGUGGAAUUCCACGUGUAGCAGUGAAAUGCGUAGAGAUGUGGAGGGACACCGAUGGCGAAGGCAGCCCCCUGGGCCAAUACUGACGCUCAUGCACGAAAGCGUGGGGAGCAAACAGGAUUAGAUACCCCGGUAGUCCCUGUCUCUUAUAC